UGGGGAAUAUUGCACAAUGGGGGAAACCCUGAUGCAGCGACGCCGCGUGAGUGAAGAAGUAUUUCGGUAUGUAAAGCUCUAUCAGCAGGGAAGAUAAUGACGGUACCUGACUAAGAAGCCCCGGCUAACUACGUGCCAGCAGCCGCGGUAAUACGUAGGGGGCAAGCGUUAUCCGGAUUUACUGGGUGUAAAGGGAGCGUAGACGGCGAUGCAAGUCUGAAGUGAAAACCCGGGGCUCAACCCUGGGACUGCUUUGGAAACUGUCAGGCUGGAGUGCAGGAGAGGUAAGUGGAAUUCCUAGUGUAGCGGUGAAAUGCGUAGAUAUUAGGAGGAACACCAGUGGCGAAGGCGGCUUACUGGACUGUAACUGACGUUGAGGCUCGAAAGCGUGGGGAGCAAACAGG
Molecule: ribosomal RNA, 404 nt
Filed under: Lachnospiraceae bacterium
Lineage: Bacteria; Bacillati; Bacillota; Clostridia; Lachnospirales; Lachnospiraceae
Description: bacterial SSU rRNA
Rfam family: Bacterial small subunit ribosomal RNA
Source: RNAcentral